GCCGGAGGGCGGCAGCCGAGCGGCGGACGCAGAGCCGAGGGCGCAGGCCUCCUCCCGCCCCGCCGAAGCCACAGGCCACGCACUUGUGGGAAAGCCUCUCGGCCUCCCUCCCGAGCCCUGCCACCUGCCACUGGAGCAGAGGUGCAGUUCGUUCGAAGCAUCCCCCUGCCUGCGGUCUACAAGUCUUUGCCAGAUUCAUAAGGAAAACCCAAUUUUCCUGUCCUCCGGGGAAUGACGGUGGCUGGCUGGGAGCACCUGGGACACGGGAGAUACAGAUGUGGCUUUAGGAGGACAGUGACGUAGGCCAGCACCGCAGUGUCCAGACACAGACACAGGCACAGGCACUCUGGCCUCCUCGCCCGACAUCUCACACCAGCUGAUCGAGAAGCAACCAAAACUGAGUAUUUUCUUUAACCCUGUGUGACUUUUAAUUUAAAAAAUGGGAGGGACUUCCCCGGCGGUCCAGUGGUUAAGACUCUGUGCUUCCACUGCAAGGGGCACGGGUUUGAUCCCUGGUCAGGGAACUAAGAUCCCGUAAGCCGAGUGGCACGGCCAAAAUAAUAAAGUAAAAAAAAAAAAAAAAAAAAAAAAGGGAGAUCCGUGAACAACUAUGAAACAAGUUGGUUAUCAACAUUAAUUGCAAAAAAAAAAAAAAAGCUUCCAUCGGGGGAGAGAAUAAGAUAUCAGACUUUUAUUGAGUAGGUGAUGGCUAGCAUACAAAAAGGACACCAAGCUUUCCUAAUGAACUGUAGUAUGAACAGGGCACCAGCACAUGGAAACAGAGAUGGUGACAGAAGGAGGAUAUGAGGACUAAAUAUUCUAAUGUUGAAGCAAUUGCUGGAGGGUAAAUCUGACUUUCAGCCAUUUGAUGUAAAAUUUUAAGGUCUUUUUUUAAAUCGAAGUAUAGUUGAUUUACAAUGUUGUGUUAGUUUCAGGUAUAC
Molecule: long non-coding RNA, 941 nt
Organism: Balaenoptera ricei (Rice's whale)
Lineage: Eukaryota; Metazoa; Chordata; Mammalia; Artiodactyla; Balaenopteridae
Exons: 3
Source: RefSeq, a predicted model, not a curated record